This 513-nucleotide ribosomal RNA is filed under the name uncultured bacterium. RNAcentral's name for it is "partial 16S ribosomal RNA". It matches the Rfam family "Bacterial small subunit ribosomal RNA", at positions 28 to 523 of the family's 1533-position model. The record is from RNAcentral.
GACGAACGCUGGCGGCGUGCCUAAUACAUGCAAGUUGAGCGCUGAAGGUUGGUACUUGUACCGACUGGAUGAGCAGCGAACGGGUGAGUAACGCGUGGGGAAUCUGCCUUUGAGCGGGGGACAACAUUUGGAAACGAAUGCUAAUACCGCAUAACAACUUUAAACACAAGUUUUAAGUUUGAAAGAUGCAAUUGCAUCACUCAAAGAUGAUCCCGCGUUGUAUUAGCUAGUUGGUGAGGUAAAGGCUCACCAAGGCGAUGAUACAUAGCCGACCUGAGAGGGUGAUCGGCCACAUUGGGACUGAGACACGGCCCAAACUCCUACGGGAGGCAGCAGUAGGGAAUCUUCGGCAAUGGACGAAAGUCUGACCGAGCAACGCCGCGUGAGUGAAGAAGGUUUUCGGAUCGUAAAACUCUGUUGGUAGAGAAGAACGUUGGUGAGAGUGGAAAGCUCAUCAAGUGACGGUAACUACCCAGAAAGGGACGGCUAACUACGUGCCAGCAGCUGCCGUAA